Molecule: ribosomal RNA, 525 nt
Filed under: uncultured delta proteobacterium
Lineage: Bacteria; Deltaproteobacteria
Description: bacterial SSU rRNA
Rfam family: Bacterial small subunit ribosomal RNA
Source: RNAcentral
CUACAGAACGAACGCUGGCGGCGUGCCUAACACAUGCAAGUCGAACGGAAUUAAGGGGCUUGCUCCUUAAUUUAGUGGCGCACGGGUGAGUAAUGCGUGGAUAACCUACCCUGGUAUCCGGGAUAACAUCUCGAAAGGGGUGCUAAUACGGGAUAAGCCCACGGGGUCUUCGGACCCUGCGGGAAAAGGUGGCCUCUGACUCAAGCUACUGUAUCAGGAUGGGUCCACGUACCAUUAGCUAGUUGGUGGGGUAAAGGCCUACCAAGGCUACGAUGGUUAGCUGGUCUGAGAGGAUGAUCAGCCACACUGGAACUGAGACACGGUCCAGACUCCUACGGGAGGCAGCAGUGGGGAAUUUUGCGCAAUGGGGGAAACCCUGACGCAGCAACGCCGCGUGAGUGAUGAAGGCCUUCGGGUCGUAAAGCUCUGUCAGAGGGAAAGAAGUGUAUCAUGGUUAAUACCCGUGAUACUUGACGGUACCCUCAAAGGAAGCACCGGCUAACUCCGUGCCAGCAGCCGCGGUAA